RNAcentral lists this ribosomal RNA (497 nucleotides) under uncultured bacterium. RNAcentral's name for it is "partial 16S ribosomal RNA". It matches the Rfam family "Bacterial small subunit ribosomal RNA", at positions 28 to 507 of the family's 1533-position model. The record is from RNAcentral.
GAUGAACGCUGGCGGCGUGCCUAAUGCAUGCAAGUCGAGCGAACAGACGAGGAGCUUGCUCCUUCGACGUUAGCGGCGGACGGGUGAGUAACACGUAGGUAACCUACCUAUAAGACUGGGAUAACUUCGGGAAACCGGAGCUAACACCGGAUAAUAUUUCGAACCGCAUGGUUCGAUAGUGAAAGAUGGCUUUGCUAUCACUUAUAGAUGGACCUGCGCCGUAUUAGCUAGUUGGUAAGGUAACGGCUUACCAAGGCAACGAUACGUAGCCGACCUGAGAGGGUGAUCGGCCACACUGGAACGGAGACACGGUCCAGACUCCUACGGGAGGCAGCAGUAGGGAAUCUUCCGCAAUGGGCGAAAGCCUGACGGAGCAACGCCGCGUGAGUGAUGAAGGUCUUCGGAUCGUAAAACUCUGUUAUUAGGGAAGAACAAACGUGUAAGUAACUGUGCACGUCUUGACGGUACCUAAUCAGAAAGCCACGGCUAACUACGUG